Long non-coding RNA from Fundulus heteroclitus (mummichog), 993 nucleotides. RefSeq lists it as uncharacterized. Lineage: Eukaryota; Metazoa; Chordata; Actinopteri; Cyprinodontiformes; Fundulidae. The record is from RefSeq and is a predicted model, not a curated record. The transcript has 2 exons.
GGAUUGAACCAGCAACCCGCCAAUUGUAAGACAAAAAGAGAGAAAGGGUCAAACAAUAGGUCUGGGGAUUUCAUCAUAAUACCUAAUGGCAGUCAGGGUGCCAUUGUUUAUGCUGCGUAGGUCUGUGCAUCCCUCCAUGGAUAUGCCUUCCCAGACCAACACUGACGUACCACCAAAACAAUCAUGCCGGGCAAUGUUGCAGGCGGCAUAGCUUUCACUGCUGCUUCUCCGGAUCGCUUUACGUCUGUCCCAUGAGCUCAGAGUGAACUUGCUCUCAUCUCUGAAAAGAACAGGGUGCCACUGCCAAGUCUGCAAAUUCCAGUGUUUUCUGGCAAACGCCAGUCGAGCUCCAUGAUGCCAAGAAGUGAGCGCAGGGCCUGCUAGGGGACACUGAGCCCUCAGGCCAUCUUCAUGGAUUCUCCUUCUCAUGCUUUGCUCAGACAUUCACACCAGUGGCCUGUUGGAGGUCAUUUUGUACGGUUCUGGCAUUGUUCGUCCUGUUCCUUCUUGCAAAGAGGAGCAGAUACCAGUCCUGCUGAUGGGUUAAGGACGUACUAGGCCCGGUCCAGCUCUCCUAGAGUAACUGUCUCCUGGAAUCUUCUCCAUGCUCUUGAGACUGUGCUGGGAGACAGAGCAAGACUUCUGACAAAGCAUCAGCCCUCACUAAUGUCUGUGCAACAUUGCCCACUGACAUAACGUAAUUACUUCUCCUGGCCCAACACUGUCUUCCUCAGCUAUCAAAUGCCAUCUGGACGUACGUCACACGUUUAGUGGCUAAAAUUAAGUAACAAAUGGUUGAUAUUUAGGAAAAUAAAUGUUCUGUUUUUGUUGAACCUUCCCUCCACACGCACGAUUUCUGGUGCACAAUUUUAUUUUUCAUUUUUGUAUUUUUUGCCACUGCAAAUGAGAUUAUAAACUGGGAUUUUCUACAUCUACCUCACACUGUCCUGACUCAAUUUUAAGCUUUGAAAACGUGCAACCAAAAAACAACAA